UACACCGCUCUGGACCUUCAUCCCAAUAACUUCAUCCUUCCUCCCUGAUAUUUGGAAAUACUCAGGAUCAGGUUUGCACCUGCCCCCCUGCUUUAGGGAUGGUAUAGGCAUUUUGGGUGGUGUUUGGAUGCCAGUGACUCCGGUAUCUCUGCUGGACCCUUUAAGCAUCAGAGCCAAGCACCCCUUGCAGCUGUGUCCAGGUGAGGGCUCUUCCCCUUAAAAGCUCCUGGCUCCAGCCAAGGCAGAGCUGCUCUAGGAUUUCUUGUGUGAAUUUGCCCUUGCUUUCCUCUUGGAGCUCCCUGUGAGACAGGGUUUGGCCACAGCUGGUGACAAGCAAACUAGGAACCCAACAGAUUUAUUUGGAUGUGUGAAAGACCUCUGCCCAUACUUUAGGAAUACUUAGGCCCCAAUUCUUCUGAAACAUCUUGGUUCAAGAGGAUUCAACCCAAAAAGCAUCAGGCAUAUAAGUGAGUGCUGGAUAUUAGUGCGAAGUCACACUUCCAGGAAGCCUCCAAGUAAUCAGAGGUGCAGAGCUGAAAUGACACAGUGAUUUUUUGUGACUGCAAGACCUAAGAACCAAAAAGGGGGCGAGAUGGGCAGCUUGCAAUCUCGAAGCACAUCUUGAAGUGCUUGUCAAAACGGAGUCAAAAUUGACUUCUGAAGGUCAUGCAGGUGUCAGAGGGUUUGUCCACAGUGAAUCCAUCUGUGUCAGCCUGAGGCUGA
This is a long non-coding RNA of Empidonax traillii (willow flycatcher), 723 nucleotides long. RefSeq lists it as uncharacterized. Lineage: Eukaryota; Metazoa; Chordata; Aves; Passeriformes; Tyrannidae. The record is from RefSeq and is a predicted model, not a curated record. The transcript has 4 exons.